AACCUGGUUGAUCCUGCCAGUAGUCAUAUGCUUGUCUCAAAGAUUAAGCCAUGCAUGUCUCAGUACUAGCCAACCUAAGGCGAAACCGCGAAUGGCUCAUUAAAUCAGUCAUAAUUUAUUGGAUGUCGAGAUAUCCCUACUCGGAUAACUGUGGUAAUUCUAGAGCUAAUACGUGCAACCGAGCUCCGACCCCGGGUCGUAUGGCCGGGGGGAAGGGCGCAUUUAUUAGAUCAAAAACCGGGCUCGGGCCUCCUCCGGGUGGCCCAACGCCUAUUAACGGUUCCUUGAUGACUCUGAAUAACCCUGCCGAGCGCUGAGGUCUUUGUACCGGCGCCGUAUCUUUCAAGUGUCUGCCUUAUCAGCUGUCGAUUGUAGGUUAUGCGCCUACAAUGGCUGUAACGGGUAACGGGGAAUCAGGGUUCGAUUCCGGAGAGGGAGCCUGAGAAACGGCUACCACAUCUAAGGAAGGCAGCAGGCACGCAAAUUACCCAAUCCCAGCUCGGGGAGGUAGUGACGAAAAAUAACGAUGCGGGACUCUUCCGAGGCCUCGCAAUCGGAAUGAGUUCAGUCUAAACACUUGGUCGAGGACCUAUUGAAGGGCAAGUCUGGUGCCAGCAGCCGCGGUAAUUCCAGCUUCAAUAGCGUAUAUUAAAUUUGUUGCGGUUAAAAAGCUCGUAGUUGGAUUUCAUGUCUGGACCGGGGAGCCCGCCCAAGGCGCGUCCCUCGCUAUCCUACGAGAGCCACCUGCCUCGCUAGCGCCUUCUACCGCCUCACUAACGUCGUUCGGAUGUUGCCCGAUUCCUUAUCACGUCUGCUGGUCUUGCCGGAUUGACGACGGGGGACGACACUCGCUGUCGUCUACUCUAGCCACUCCGUCCUGUCAGCUGCUGGUUGGGUCUCGGCUAUUCCGAGUUAAGCGACGCGAGGUACUGGGGUUGGCGUGCUCGACCCGAGACCAGGAAGCGUUCCACGGAAAGAGGGUUCUUAAAACGCGCCCGGGCGGUUUAACUACUCGGCUCCGGAUUUUGAUCUUACCGCCGGCGCUCACGGGGUGCUCUUAACCGAGUGUCCCGCGUAGCCGGCAACUUCACUUUGAAAAAAUUAGAGUGCUCAAAGCAGGCAAAAAUCUUAACGCCUGAAUGGUAGUGCAUGGAAUGAUGGAACAGGACCUCGGUUCUGCCUUUUUCCGCUCGGUUUUUCGGGACCGAGGUAAUGAUUAACGGGAACAGCCGGGGGCAUUGGUAUUGCGACGCUAGAGGUGAAAUUCUUGGACCGUCGCAAGACCAACUACUGCGAAAGCAUUUGCCAAGAGUGUUUUCAUUAAUCAAGAACGAAAGUUAGAGGAUCGAAGGCGAUCAGAUACCGCCCUAGUUCUAACCAUAAACGAUGCUAACUGGCGAUCCGUCGGCGUCAUUCCCACGACUCGACGGGGAGCCCCCGGGAAACCAAAGUCUUUGAGUUCCGGGGGAAGUAUGGUUGCAAAGCUGAAACUUAAAGGAAUUGACGGAGGGGCACCACCAGACGUGGAGCCUGCGGCUUAAUUUGACUCAACACGGGUAACCUCACCAGGCCCAGACGCUAAAAGGAUUGACAGAUUGAGAGCUCUUUCUCGAUAUAGUGGUUGGUGGUGCAUGGCCGUUCUUAGUUGGUGGAGCGAUCUGUCUGGUUGAUUUCGAUAACGAACGAGACUCUACCCUGCUAACUAGUCGGCGAAUCGUCUCCCGAGACGGGUUCGGCCGCGGUGGAUGAUACCCUGGGACGACCUUCUCUUUCCGAUCUCUCUCGCGACUUCCUCACCUCCGGAACCCGGUCGUAUGGCCGGGCGAUGGACGCGUGGGGAACCUUGAGGGUGAAAGUCUUAGGGGGAAACGUGCCAGGUCUCCGUCGCGCGUCGGGCCCAGCGAGGGGCGUUCGUCGUAUUUUCUUCUUAGAGGGAUCGGCGGCGUUUAGCCGCAAGAGAAAGAGCAAUAACAGGUCUGUGAUGCCCUUAGAUGUUCUGGGCCGCACGCGCGCUACACUGAAGGGAUCAGCGUGCUUUCCUACUCCGAAAGGAGCGGGUAACCCGAUGAAACCCCUUCCCGAUUAGGAUUGGGGAUUGUAAGUGUUUCCCAUAAAUGAGGAAUGUCCAGUAAGCGCGAGUCAUCAGCUCGCGUUGAUUAAGUCCCUGCCCCUUGUACACACCGCCCGUCGCUAUUACCGAUUGAAUGAUUCAGUGAGGGCAUCGGACUGGCGCCCAAGGCAUCACGUCGUCCCUCUCUCGGGAGGGGUGGCGCGCCACGGGCUGACGGAAAGAUGUCCGAACUUAGUCAUUUAGAGGAAAUAAAAGUCGUAACAAGGUUUCCGUAGGUGACCUGCGGAAGGAUCA
This 2365-nucleotide ribosomal RNA is filed under the name Trichoniscus provisorius. RNAcentral describes it as "SSU rRNA". It matches the Rfam family "Eukaryotic small subunit ribosomal RNA". The record is from RNAcentral. Lineage: Eukaryota; Metazoa; Arthropoda; Malacostraca; Isopoda; Trichoniscidae.